Small nuclear RNA from Magnolia sinica, 192 nucleotides. RefSeq annotates it as U2 spliceosomal RNA. The transcript has a single exon. Lineage: Eukaryota; Viridiplantae; Streptophyta; Magnoliopsida; Magnoliales; Magnoliaceae. The record is from RefSeq and is a predicted model, not a curated record.
AUGCCUUCCUUGGCCUUUUGGCUAAGAUCAAGUGUAGUAUAUGUUCUAAUUAGUAUAAUAUCUUAUAUAUGGUCCAUUGGGCCAUAUGAUAUUAAAUAAAUUUCUUGUGAGGGAGGGCCUGUCAUAGUAGCUUGUUGUGCCCUCUGGCAUUGCUUAUGUGUUGCACUAUAAGACUGGCCUUGUACACCCCUA